AGCGGCGGACGGGUGAGUAACACGUAGGCAACCUGCCCUUUAGCCUGGGAUAACUACCGGAAACGGUAGCUAAUACCGGAUACUUUCGAUGUCUGCAUGGACGACGAACGAAAGACGGAGCAAUCUGUCACUGAAGGAUGGGCGUGCGGCGCAUAAGCUAGUUGGUGGGGUAACGGCUCACCAAGGCGACGAUGCGUAGCCGACCUGAGAGGGUGAUCGGCCACACUGGGACUGAGACACGGCCCAGACUCCUACGGGAGGCAGCAGUAGGGAAUCUUCCGCAAUGGGCGAAAGCCUGACGGAGCAACGCCGCUUGAGUGAUGAAGGUUUUCGGAUCGUAAAGCUCUGUUGCCAGGGAAGAACGUUUUCUAGAGUAACUGCUAGAGAAGUGACGGUACCUGAGAAGAAAGCCCCGGCUAACUACGUGCCAGCAGCCGCGGUAAUACGUAGGGGGCAAGCGUUGUCCGGAAUUAUUGGGCGUAAAGCGCGCGCAGGCGGUCAUGUAAGUCUGGUGUUUAAUCCCGAAGCUCAACUUCGGGUCGCAUCGGAAACUGGGUGACUUGAGUGCAGAAGAGGAGAGUGGAAUUCCACGUGUAGCGGUGAAAUGCGUAGAGAUGUGGAGGAACACCA
Molecule: ribosomal RNA, 630 nt
Filed under: Paenibacillus wenxiniae
Lineage: Bacteria; Bacillati; Bacillota; Bacilli; Caryophanales; Paenibacillaceae
Description: bacterial SSU rRNA
Rfam family: Bacterial small subunit ribosomal RNA
Source: RNAcentral